GUCCGAAUGGACGGGUUCAGAUCGGCACCGUUGACGACGAUGUACCGCUUGUUCUCGACGGCGGGCAUUCGGUUCGUGACCGAGUUCGACUCC
RNAcentral lists this transfer RNA (93 nucleotides) under Rhodococcoides fascians. RNAcentral describes it as "Rhodococcus fascians tRNA-Val". The record is from RNAcentral. Lineage: Bacteria; Bacillati; Actinomycetota; Actinomycetes; Mycobacteriales; Nocardiaceae.